AACGAACGCUGGCGGCAUGCCUAACACAUGCAAGUCGAACGAGACCUUCGGGUCUAGUGGCGCACGGGUGCGUAACGCGUGGGAACCUGCCCUUAGGUUCGGAAUCACUCCCCGAAAGGGGUGCUAAUACCGGCUAAUGUCUUCGGACCAAAGAUUUAUCGCCUUUGGUUGGGCCCGCGUUGGAUUAGCUCGUUGGUAGGGUAAAAGCCUACCAAGGCGACGAUCCAUAGCUGGUCUGAGAGGAUGAUCAGCCACACUGGGACUGAGACACGGCCCAGACUCCUACGGGAGGCAGCAGUGGGGAAUAGUGGACAAUGGGCGAAAGGCUGAUCCAGCAAGGCCGCGUGAGUGAUGAAGGCCUUAGGGUUGUAAAGCUCUUGUACCCGGGAGGAUAAUGACAGUACCGGGAGAAUAAGCUCCGGCUAACUCCGUG
Molecule: ribosomal RNA, 433 nt
Filed under: uncultured bacterium
Lineage: Bacteria
Description: partial 16S ribosomal RNA
Rfam family: Bacterial small subunit ribosomal RNA
Source: RNAcentral